This 392-nucleotide ribosomal RNA is filed under the name uncultured bacterium. RNAcentral's name for it is "bacterial SSU rRNA". It matches the Rfam family "Bacterial small subunit ribosomal RNA", at positions 30 to 421 of the family's 1533-position model. The record is from RNAcentral.
AUUGAACGCUGGCGGCAUGCUUUACACAUGCAAGUCGAACGGCAGCACGGGUGCUUGCACCUGGUGGCGAGUGGCGAACGGGUGAGUAAUGCAUCGGAACGUGCCUAUUAGUGGGGGAUAACGCUUCGAAAGGAGUGCUAAUACCGCAUAAUCUCUGAGGAGGAAAGCAGGGGACCUUCGGGCCUUGCGCUGAUAGAGCGGCCGAUGUCGGAUUAGCUAGUUGGUGAGGUAAAGGCUCACCAAGGCGACGAUCCGUAGCGGGUCUGAGAGGAUGAUCCGCCACACUGGGACUGAGACACGGCCCAGACUCCUACGGGAGGCAGCAGUGGGGAAUUUUGGACAAUGGGCGCAAGCCUGAUCCAGCCAUGCGCGUGAGUGAAGAAGGCCUCGGG